RNAcentral lists this ribosomal RNA (562 nucleotides) under Staphylococcus pseudintermedius. RNAcentral describes it as "partial 23S ribosomal RNA". It matches the Rfam family "Bacterial large subunit ribosomal RNA", at positions 1 to 556 of the family's 2925-position model. Lineage: Bacteria; Bacillati; Bacillota; Bacilli; Caryophanales; Staphylococcaceae. The record is from RNAcentral.
AGAUUAAGUUAUUAAGGGCGCACGGUGGAUGCCUUGGCACUAGAAGCCGACGAAGGACGUUACUAACGACGAUAUGCUUUGGGGAGCUGUAAGUAAGCUUUGAUCCAGAGAUUUCCGAAUGGGGAAACCCAGCACGAGUUAUGUCGUGUUAUCUGCAUGUGAAUACAUAGCAUGCAAGAAGGCAGACCCGGAGAACUGAAACAUCUUAGUACCCGGAGGAAGAGAAAGAAAAAUCGAUUCCCUGAGUAGCGGCGAGCGAAACGGGAAGAGCCCAAACCAAUAAGCUUGCUUAUUGGGGUUGUAGGACACUCUGUACGGAGUUACAAAAGAAUUGGUUAGACGAAUAACCUGGAAAGGUUAAUCAGAGAAGGUAAUAAUCCUGUAGUCGAAAACGAAUUCUCUCUUGAGUGGAUCCUGAGUACGACGGAGCACGUGAAAUUCCGUCGGAAUCUGGGAGGACCAUCUCCUAAGGCUAAAUACUCUCUAGUGACCGAUAGUGAACCAGUACCGUGAGGGAAAGGUGAAAAGUACCCCGGAAGGGGAGUGAAAGAGAACUUGAAAC